This 1459-nucleotide long non-coding RNA is filed under the name Triticum aestivum (bread wheat). RNAcentral's name for it is "long non-coding RNA (TAES_LNC025299)". Lineage: Eukaryota; Viridiplantae; Streptophyta; Magnoliopsida; Poales; Poaceae. The record is from RNAcentral.
GACAAACAUGUUAAAAGUUUAAAACAUGCCUUGCUACCUGUUUACUUUGGCAGCCAUACCUUUUAGUUCACCAUUCAUUCACGCUUUUGCACUUCUCUGAACCAGCUUGCCACGACGAUGACCAUGGCUCUCAAGGCCAGCAAAGAUGUCUUGUGUUGUUAACAAAGCUGAUUAGGCCAAUUCACAAUUCCUUGAACAGAGUUGUCUGAUGUGAGAAAUAUCUCCCUGCAACAUAAACAGAGUUGCUAACAAAACAAGGUAGCAAGGCGUGUUUAUUUCAGCCUGAUUAGGCUAAUCCUGCGCCCAGUCCUUGGGGAUCCAUCUGUACCGUCUCAUUGUACUUUAUUUCAGCCACACGUGACCUGCCACUAGUCGGGCAUGAUGAUAAACAGUGCAACAAAGGAGCUUUUUAGAAAUUGUGUAAAGCUACUCGUUUUGACACGUUCAGUAGGUGUUUUUUGACAAAUAUAUGUCGCAAUUGACAAAAGAAAAUCAGCAGAUCAAGCUUUCUUACAUAUAUGGAAUACAUGCUAGCUUCAGUUUUAACUGUCAAUUGCACCUUAAAGCAUAGUAUGUGAAUUAAUUGCAGCUUUGAACAUUUUGGAUGCUCACUGUAUAAAAUGGAAAACAAGUGUACAACUUUGUACACAUCAGUCAAUAGCUUGCGAGUGUGAUCAUCAGUUAGCAUUCUAGAACAGGAAAUAUUUAUUUAUGUUGAUCAGAUUUGUUUUAUGCAGGUUAUGUAUGGGCAAGAUACCCGACGUCCAUACGCCGUCACCAGGAAAAUUAAGUGCAUUGGAGAAGGCAUUAAUAAUUAUUUUUGAAAGAAAGUCAGAGUUUGUGGUCAAGAGUUCAAUUCUUUGGCUGAAGCUUACGACUUCUAUAACCUAGUCAAAAUUCUGUUCUAUUUGCUGGGCAAAGGGUCACCUGGCAAAUGGUUGUCCCUCUCGAGGAGAUGCACAAAAAAACCAAGGAUAGAACCAAAGUGUAGCAAGUGCUGACCUGGAGGGCACAAAAGGAAUGCGUGCACACGGAGUAUCUUCAGCGUGUUCCUCCAAAGCAAACCCGAGAAUUUAUUCGCGUCAUAGAUAUUAUCUCGUCUAUAUUUUGUAUGGGUGUUAUCUUAUCAUUUGAAAACUUGUGUCUUUUUUGGGGGGCAUUUUGCAUUGGGUAUUACAUGGUCAAUAGACAAAUUCUGUUUGUGUGGAUUUUGUCGAUGUUCAAAAAUAUCAGACAGUGAACAUGGCAAGAAUGGUGAAGGGUGGUGACUGAUUAGGCUACAGACCUCCUUGCAGAUCAAUGGAUUUCUCGUUUAAGGUCAAGUCAUUACCGUAGUAGAAUUUGUUGGUCACGCUUCUUUCAUGGACUUUAUUAACGCGUUGUCUGAACUUUAACAUAAAAAUACGAAGAACUUUAUUAACUUGACCGAACAUUGAUCGAAAGAGUCAGAAGCUUUGAC